Molecule: ribosomal RNA, 1111 nt
Filed under: Bacillus safensis
Lineage: Bacteria; Bacillati; Bacillota; Bacilli; Caryophanales; Bacillaceae
Description: bacterial SSU rRNA
Rfam family: Bacterial small subunit ribosomal RNA
Source: RNAcentral
UAUGCCUAUACUGCAAGUCGAGCGGACAGAAGGGAGCUUGCUCCCGGAUGUUAGCGGCGGACGGGUGAGUAACACGUGGGUAACCUGCCUGUAAGACUGGGAUAACUCCGGGAAACCGGAGCUAAUACCGGAUAGUUCCUUGAACCGCAUGGUUCAAGGAUGAAAGACGGUUUCGGCUGUCACUUACAGAUGGACCCGCGGCGCAUUAGCUAGUUGGUGGGGUAAUGGCUCACCAAGGCGACGAUGCGUAGCCGACCUGAGAGGGUGAUCGGCCACACUGGGACUGAGACACGGCCCAGACUCCUACGGGAGGCAGCAGUAGGGAAUCUUCCGCAAUGGACGAAAGUCUGACGGAGCAACGCCGCGUGAGUGAUGAAGGUUUUCGGAUCGUAAAGCUCUGUUGUUAGGGAAGAACAAGUGCGAGAGUAACUGCUCGCACCUUGACGGUACCUAACCAGAAAGCCACGGCUAACUACGUGCCAGCAGCCGCGGUAAUACGUAGGUGGCAAGCGUUGUCCGGAAUUAUUGGGCGUAAAGGGCUCGCAGGCGGUUUCUUAAGUCUGAUGUGAAAGCCCCCGGCUCAACCGGGGAGGGUCAUUGGAAACUGGGAAACUUGAGUGCAGAAGAGGAGAGUGGAAUUCCACGUGUAGCGGUGAAAUGCGUAGAGAUGUGGAGGAACACCAGUGGCGAAGGCGACUCUCUGGUCUGUAACUGACGCUGAGGAGCGAAAGCGUGGGGAGCGAACAGGAUUAGAUACCCUGGUAGUCCACGCCGUAAACGAUGAGUGCUAAGUGUUAGGGGGUUUCCGCCCCUUAGUGCUGCAGCUAACGCAUUAAGCACUCCGCCUGGGGAGUACGGUCGCAAGACUGAAACUCAAAGGAAUUGACGGGGGCCCGCACAAGCGGUGGAGCAUGUGGUUUAAUUCGAAGCAACGCGAAGAACCUUACCAGGUCUUGACAUCCUCUGACAACCCUAGAGAUAGGGCUUUCCCUUCGGGGACAGAGUGACAGGUGGUGCAUGGUUGUCGUCAGCUCGUGUCGUGAGAUGUUGGGUUAAGUCCCGCAACGAGCGCAACCCUUGAUCUUAUUUGCCAGCAUUCAGUUGGGCACUC